GAAGAAAAGGAACUAAACUUCCGCUUUAAGAGGACAAUAAAUGUUUCGGAUAGGUAGUAGUUAAAGUAAUGGUUUAACUAGCUUAAAAUUCCGUAAUCGAGGCUGAGAGGUCGAUCGAUCACAUUGGGUCUGAAAAAACCCCAAUACGUAUAGUACAGCAGUGGGGAAUAUUGGUCAAUAGCCUAACGGCUGAACCAGCAACUUGGGGGAAUGUAUAGCUUCGGCUAGUUA
This 231-nucleotide ribosomal RNA is filed under the name uncultured Chlamydomonas. RNAcentral's name for it is "partial Bacterial small subunit ribosomal RNA". It matches the Rfam family "Bacterial small subunit ribosomal RNA", at positions 198 to 428 of the family's 1533-position model. The record is from RNAcentral. Lineage: Eukaryota; Viridiplantae; Chlorophyta; Chlorophyceae; Chlamydomonadales; Chlamydomonadaceae.